GGUGAGAUGGCCGAGUUGGUUAUGGCGUCAGGUUAAGGUCCUGGUGGAGCAAUCCUCCUGGGUUCGAGCCCCAGUCUCAUCA
RNAcentral lists this transfer RNA (82 nucleotides) under Clonostachys solani. It matches the Rfam family "tRNA". From Rfam's summary of the family: Transfer RNA (tRNA) molecules are approximately 80 nucleotides in length. Their secondary structure includes four short double-helical elements and three loops (D, anti-codon, and T loops). Further hydrogen bonds mediate the characteristic L-shaped molecular structure. tRNAs have two regions of fundamental functional importance: the anti-codon, which is responsible for specific mRNA codon recognition, and the 3' end, to which the tRNAs corresponding amino acid is attached (by aminoacyl-tRNA synthetases). tRNAs cope with the degeneracy of the genetic code in two manners: having more than one tRNA (with a specific anti-codon) for a particular amino acid; and 'wobble' base-pairing, i.e. permitting non-standard base-pairing at the 3rd anti-codon position. Lineage: Eukaryota; Fungi; Ascomycota; Sordariomycetes; Hypocreales; Bionectriaceae. The record is from RNAcentral.